UUGAAGACCAGUUUUAGGCCGUGGUGGU
RNAcentral lists this non-coding RNA (28 nucleotides) under Rattus norvegicus (Norway rat). Lineage: Eukaryota; Metazoa; Chordata; Mammalia; Rodentia; Muridae. The record is from RNAcentral.